Molecule: long non-coding RNA, 244 nt
Filed under: Numida meleagris (helmeted guineafowl)
Lineage: Eukaryota; Metazoa; Chordata; Aves; Galliformes; Numididae
Description: lncRNA (ENSNMEG00000009317.1)
Source: RNAcentral
AUGCAAAAUGCAACUCUAAAAACCUCUAGGCAUAUGGAAAACCCAAACUGGGAAUCCCUUGUCACUGAAGUAGGAGGAAAAAUGAUUAUCAUCUCAGACUUUUUUCUACCAUUUAAGUUACUGCAUCUGCAUCACAACACCAGCAAUUCAUAUGGCAUCAUUAUAUAUUGAUUGAAAAAAUGAGUGAAGCAUUAGGAAUAUGGGAAUGAUCUUGGCUCACAGACUAUUCAAACUCCAGAAGGAC